Molecule: long non-coding RNA, 368 nt
Filed under: Rattus norvegicus (Norway rat)
Lineage: Eukaryota; Metazoa; Chordata; Mammalia; Rodentia; Muridae
Description: long non-coding RNA NONRATT004996
Source: RNAcentral
AGACUUCAAGGACCGAAUUCACAAACAAAGGUUAACCCAGUCAAAGAUAAAAGAAAAUCGUCAUCAAAGUGUUCGUGCCCGAAAAUAUUACGACGACUACAGAGUUCAGUUACGUGCAAAAAUGAUGAAGAUGAGAACCCGGGAGGAAAUGAUCUUUAAGAAACUUUCAAAGCACGGCUGCAGCUGGCUUCCUUCCAGUACAGUAAAAAUCCUUUCCCAAGAGGCCAAACUCCAUAGGUGAAGUUUCUAGACACCUUAAUGUGAACAGAGCUAGACCUGAGCCAGUAAACCGUCUAAACCAGAAUAUGCCUUAUUUAUGUAUUCAUGUUAAAAGUUAGAAUGUUUUAAAUAAAAGACUUUUUUUUUUA